UACGAAGGGGGCUAGCGUUGCUCGGAAUUACUGGGCGUAAAGGGCGCGUAGGCGGCUGUGUUAGUCAGGCGUGAAAUUCCUGGGCUCAACCUGGGGACUGCGCUUGAUACGGCAUGGCUAGAGUGUGGAAGAGGGUCGUGGAAUUCCCAGUGUAGAGGUGAAAUUCGUAGAUAUUGGGAAGAACACCGGUGGCGAAGGCGGCGACCUGGUCCAUUACUGACGCUGAGGCGCGACAGCGUGGGGAGCAAACAGG
RNAcentral lists this ribosomal RNA (253 nucleotides) under uncultured bacterium. RNAcentral describes it as "partial 16S ribosomal RNA". It matches the Rfam family "Bacterial small subunit ribosomal RNA", at positions 524 to 776 of the family's 1533-position model. The record is from RNAcentral.